UCGAAAUAUUCCGUGUCUGUCCAGUCCUGUAACUGAGUGUAAGUUGUAAAGGUAAACACAAAUUGGAAAGAACGACAUAGUUGCAUGGGGAAAGAUCUGUUGGCCACAGGAUUUCAGAUACAUGGUAGUGUUGAAAUCUGAACACAUCCGGAUAAUUAUUUCUAUAACUAUUUGAAGCCGUACAUCAGUGGCCUUGUUAAAGUUUGUAUACACAAAUUCAACAUAUACCAGGAUACGAUCUGUAAUCUGGCAUCAGCUGGAGCCAUUAUAUAAUCGGAAGCAAAG
Molecule: long non-coding RNA, 285 nt
Organism: Magallana angulata
Lineage: Eukaryota; Metazoa; Mollusca; Bivalvia; Ostreida; Ostreidae
Exons: 4
Source: RefSeq, a predicted model, not a curated record